UUUUUCUUUUCUCGGGGGGGGGGGGCUGUGGGUUUAGUUCCGCGAGGCAACCUUGUCAUACUUUCCAGCGGGUCAUCCCGGGGACUCAUGGGAGACUGCCGGGGUCAAAUCGCAUGAAGGCGCGGACGAUGUCAAGUCAUCAUGCCCUUUAUAUCCAGGGUUUCACGCAUGUUACAAUGGCCGGUACAAAGGGCCGGGAUGCUGUAAGGCGCAUCGAACAGCAAAAAACCCGUUUCAGUUCCGACCGGCGUUUGUCAGUGAAACACCAGAAGUCGGAGUCGUUCCUAAUCGACAGAUCUGCAUCUUUCCGGC
Molecule: ribosomal RNA, 312 nt
Filed under: uncultured Arthrobacter sp.
Lineage: Bacteria; Bacillati; Actinomycetota; Actinomycetes; Micrococcales; Micrococcaceae
Description: partial 16S ribosomal RNA
Rfam family: Bacterial small subunit ribosomal RNA
Source: RNAcentral